This 253-nucleotide ribosomal RNA is filed under the name uncultured Eubacteriales bacterium. RNAcentral describes it as "uncultured Clostridiales bacterium partial 16S ribosomal RNA". It matches the Rfam family "Bacterial small subunit ribosomal RNA", at positions 524 to 776 of the family's 1533-position model. Lineage: Bacteria; Bacillati; Bacillota; Clostridia; Eubacteriales. The record is from RNAcentral.
UACGUAGGUGGCAAGCGUUAUCCGGAAUUAUUGGGCGUAAAGAGCGCGCAGGUGGUUAAUUAAGUCUGAUGUGAAAUCCCAUGGCUUAACCAUGGAACUGCUUUGGAAACUGUGCAGCUGGAGUGCAGGAGAGGUAAGCGGAAUUCCUAGUGUAGCGGUGAAAUGCGUAGAUAUUAGGAGGAACACCAGUGGCGAAGGCGGCUCACUGGACUGUAACUGACGUUGAGGCUCGAAAGCGUGGGGAGCAAACAGG